UCCAGACUCCUACGGGAGGCAGCAGUGAGGGAUAUUGCACAAUGGGGGAAACCCUGAUGCAGCGACGCCGCGUGAGUGAAGAAGUACUUCGUUACGUAAAGCUCUCUCAGCAGGGAAGAAAAUGACGGUACCUGACUAAGAAGCCCCGGCUAACUACGUGCCAGCAGCCGCGGUAAUACGUAGGGGGCAAGCGUUAUCCGGAAUUACUGGGUGUAAAGGGAGCGCAGACGGCAGUGCAAGUCUGGAGUGAAAGGCGGGGGCUCAACCCCGGGACUGCAUUUGGAACUGUGCUGCUAGAGUGUCGGAGAGGCAGGCGGAAUUCCUAGUGUAGCGGUGAAAUGCGUAGAUAUUAGGAGGAACACCAGUGGCGAAGGCGGCCUGCUGGACGAUGACUGACGUUGAGGCUCGAAAGCGUGGGGAGCAAACAGGAUUAGAUACCCGCGUA
Molecule: ribosomal RNA, 445 nt
Filed under: uncultured bacterium
Lineage: Bacteria
Description: bacterial SSU rRNA
Rfam family: Bacterial small subunit ribosomal RNA
Source: RNAcentral